UUUUGUCGUCAAUAAAUGACAUGUUCUAUUAGUCUACUUUAACACUCGCGUUUUAGCUUUCCGUUUGUGAGAUCUGUUCAGGGCUCACACAAGCGGUCCAAAACGGAUCAGUUUGCAUUCUAAUGCAUUCUGAAUGGAAAAGGAUCCGCUCAGAAUGCAU
Molecule: long non-coding RNA, 160 nt
Organism: Bufo bufo (common toad)
Lineage: Eukaryota; Metazoa; Chordata; Amphibia; Anura; Bufonidae
Exons: 4
Source: RefSeq, a predicted model, not a curated record